This 1675-nucleotide long non-coding RNA is filed under the name Homo sapiens (human). RNAcentral describes it as "HSALNT0128721". Lineage: Eukaryota; Metazoa; Chordata; Mammalia; Primates; Hominidae. The record is from RNAcentral.
GGGGGCGCGGGAGCCCCGGCUAAGCCCGGGGACGGGAGGGCGCCCCCUCCCAGCGCCCGAACCCAGGCAACUUCCCGCCGCCCGGGCAGGAGUUUCUCCGUAGCCCACGGACAUCCGGGAGGCUUGUGGAGGGCAGGCGGGUAACCCCCACUCCCACCCCACCUUUAUCCAGGGGCAGCCAGAGGAGCCAGCAGGUCGGGACUCGCUGAGGGGGCUCCACGCGGGGCCUCCCACGCACAGACAAAAAGAACAGCGUAUGACUCAGUUAAGGAGGUGGCAGUGUGGACAAAACACACAGAGAGCAAGAGGAUGAGCCUUCCACUAAAGAUUGUUGACUGACCUAUGCCAUUCACUGUGCUCAGCUCUAUGGACACAAAGAUGAUUUAGAAGCAGCUGUUGUCCCUGGGAGCUCAGCCAGCAGUGAAACAGUCCCACAAAAUGGAGAAUUAAACACAUAUUCAUCUCCCUUUUCUCCCAAGACAUCCUCUAGACUUAUAGGAAGGAGAUUUAAAAGAAAACAUUAACACACAGUGAGGAAGAGAGGCCAUCGGCAGAUGAAGAUUCUACCAAGUUCUAGAAGAGCAGGUGGAGCAGAGGUGUGGGAUAGCAGUGUAACAGAGAGGAGAAAACAUUAGCUUAGAGCACUCAAAGAAGGGGGUUUGGGAAAGAAGGAACUUAUUUGCCCCUGGAGAAUCCCUAAGAGGGGGUCCCCAAGGGCCAGGUGUGGCAGAAGGCAAGAAAGCAAGCUGGUACCAGAAUAAGGGGAUUAUUUGAAAGGCCACUUACAAAGCAGUCAGCCCCUACACCAAAUGCAGUAUUUACAGGCAGAGCCCUAUCCUUAGGCCAGAACAUUGGAAGUCUCGUCUCAGGAUGACUGAGUUGUCCCAGAGGACAGGCAUGUGAGGAUGCCACUGAGCCAGCUCCCACUGAAAUCCCAAAAGCCACCCUCAGCUCCUAAGAAAACCCCACUCCAGAACACACAGCUCCCACAUGAUCAGUGUCUUAUUCUUAAAUAUAUAAAUAUAUAGCCAAAGCUAAUCCACCCCCAAGGAAAGUCCAGUGUGAUUGAGACCGAGGAAAACAAAGAGAAAACCCCUGAGGGAAUGGAAACAACAUAAGAAACAGAAAAGAACUGAAAACAAAACAAAACAAACCUCACUUUAAUGUUCACAAUACUAAAAAGGAAACCUCAGAGGACAAGAAAGUGCUCUUGGAAAUUAAAAUAUUUUAAAAAUGACUGCUGCCCAAAUAAAAUAUUCAGUAGAAUUAGCGAUAAAGUUAAGGAAAUCCCCCAGAAAGUGGAAGAUAAAAUUUUAGCAGAAUUGGAAAAUGCAGUUGAAGAAAUCUCCCAGAAAGCAGAGUAACAAGACAAAAGGAAAAGAUCAUCAAAAUGAAAAGAGAAUCAAUUUGAUAGGUUUAUGUUGGACUAUAGGAGUUCCAGAAAGAACAGAAAAUUGAAGGGAGGAAGUUAUCAAAUACAUAAUACUGGAAAAUUCUCAACCCUGAAGUUUAGAGGCCUUUAAAGAGUCCACUGAGUCCACCCAGCAAAAAGAAUGAAAAUAGAUCCACAGCAAUGCAUGUCAACCUAAAAUCUCAGAGUAUCAGAGACAAAGAGAAUAACCAAAAAACUUCCACAGAGAAAAUACAAAAUCCCAAUAAAUGUUACAAUGGCACA